GGGGUGACUGCGUACCUUUUGUAUAAUGGGUCAGCGACUUAUAUUCUGUAGCAAGGUUAACCGCAUAGGGGAGCCGAAGGGAAACCGAGUCUUAAUUGGGCGUUAAGUUGCAGGGUAUAGACCCGAAACCCGGUGAUCUAGCCAUGGGCAGGUUGAAGGUUGGGUAACACUAACUGGAGGACCGAACCGACUAAUGUUGAAAAAUUAGCGGAUGACCUGUGGCUGGGGGUGAAAGGCCAAUCAAACCGGGAGAUAGCUGGUUCUCCCCGAAAGCUAUUUAGGUAGCGCCUCGUGAACUCAUCUCCGGGGGUAGAGCACUGUUUCGGCUAGGGGGCCAUCCCGGCUUACCAACCCGAUGCAAACUGCGAAUACCGGAGAAUGUUAUCACGGGAGACACACGGCGGGUGCUAACGUCCGUCGUGAAGAGGGAAACAACCCAGACCGCCAGCUAAGGUCCCAAAGUCAUGGUUAAGUGGGAAACGAUGUGGGAAGGCCCAGACAGCCAGGAUGUUGGCUUAGAAGCAGCCAUCAUUUAAAGAAAGCGUAAUAGCUCACUGGUCGAGUCGGCCUGCGCGGAAGAUGUAACGGGGCUAAACCAUGCACCGAAGCUGCGGCAGCGACACUUUAGUGUUGUUGGGUAGGGGAGCGUUCUGUAAGCCGUUGAAGGUGUCCUGUGAGGGGUGCUGGAGGUAUCAGAAGUGCGAAUGCUGACAUAAGUAACGAUAAAGCGGGUGAAAAGCCCGCUCGCCGGAAGACCAAGGGUUCCUGUCCAACGUUAAUCGGGGCAGGGUGAGUCGACCCCUAAGGCGAGGCCGAAAGGCGUAGUCGAUGGGAAACGGGUUAAUAUUCCCGUACUUGGUGUUACUGCGAAGGGGGGACGGAGAAGGCUAUGUUGGCCGGGCGACGGUAGUCCCGGUUUAAGCGUGUAGGUGUGUGUUCCAGGCAAAUCCGGUUCACUUUAACACUGAGGCGUGAUGACGAGGCACCACGGUGCUGAAGCAACAAAUGCCCUGCUUCCAGGAAAAGCCUCUAAGCAUCAGGUAACAUCAAAUCGUACCCCAAACCGACACAGGUGGUCAGGUAGAGAAUACCAAGGCGCUUGAGAGAACUCGGGUGAAGGAACUAGGCAAAAUGGUGCCGUAACUUCGGGAGAAGGCACGCUGACACGUAGGUGAAGUGAUUUACUCACGGAGCUGAAGUCAGUCGAAGAUACCAGCUGGCUGCAACUGUUUAUUAAAAACACAGCACUGUGCAAACACGAAAGUGGACGUAUACGGUGUGACGCCUGCCCGGUGCCGGAAGGUUAAUUGAUGGGGUCAGCGCAAGCGAAGCUCCUGAUCGAAGCCCCGGUAAACGGCGGCCGUAACUAUAACGGUCCUAAGGUAGCGAAAUUCCUUGUCGGGUAAGUUCCGACCUGCACGAAUGGCGUAAUGAUGGCCAGGCUGUCUCCACCCGAGACUCAGUGAAAUUGAACUCGCUGUGAAGAUGCAGUGUACCCGCGGCAAGACGGAAAGACCCCGUGAACCUUUACUAUAGCUUGACACUGAACAUUGAGCCUUGAUGUGUAGGAUAGGUGGGAGGCUUUGAAGCGUGGACGCCAGUCUGCGUGGAGCCGACCUUGAAAUACCACCCUUUAAUGUUUGAUGUUCUAACGUGGACCCGUAAUCCGGGUUGCGGACAGUGUCUGGUGGGUAGUUUGACUGGGGCGGUCUCCUCCUAAAGAGUAACGGAGGAGCACGAAGGUUGGCUAAUCCUGGUCGGACAUCAGGAGGUUAGUGCAAUGGCAUAAGCCAGCUUGACUGCGAGCGUGACGGCGCGAGCAGGUGCGAAAGCAGGUCAUAGUGAUCCGGUGGUUCUGAAUGGAAGGGCCAUCGCUCAACGGAUAAAAGGUACUCCGGGGAUAACAGGCUGAUACCGCCCAAGAGUUCAUAUCGACGGCGGUGUUUGGCACCUCGAUGUCGGCUCAUCACAUCCUGGGGCUGAAGUAGGUCCCAAGGGUAUGGCUGUUCGCCAUUUAAAGUGGUACGCGAGCUGGGUUUAGAACGUCGUGAGACAGUUCGGUCCCUAUCUGCCGUGGGCGCUGGAGAAUUGAGGGGGGCUGCUCCUAGUACGAGAGGACCGGAGUGGACGCAUCACUGGUGUUCGGGUUGUCAUGCCAAUGGCACUGCCCGGUAGCUAAAUGCGGAAAAGAUAAGUGCUGAAAGCAUCUAAGCACGAAACUUGCCCCGAGAUGAGUUCUCCCUGAGACUUUGAGUCUCCUGAAGGAACGUUAAAGACGAUGACGUUGAUAGGCCGGGUGUGUAAGCGCAGCGAUGCGUUGAGCUAACCGGUACUAAUGAACCGUGAGGCUUAACCUUACAACGCCGAAG
This 2369-nucleotide ribosomal RNA is filed under the name Salmonella enterica subsp. enterica. RNAcentral's name for it is "bacterial LSU rRNA". It matches the Rfam family "Bacterial large subunit ribosomal RNA", at positions 590 to 2925 of the family's 2925-position model. RNAcentral also lists the same sequence under 1 other name. The record is from RNAcentral. Lineage: Bacteria; Pseudomonadati; Pseudomonadota; Gammaproteobacteria; Enterobacterales; Enterobacteriaceae.